UACGGAGGGAGCUAGCGUUGUUCGGAAUUACUGGGCGUAAAGCGCACGUAGGCGGCAAUCCAAGUCAGGGGUGAAAUCCCGGGGCUCAACCCCGGAACUGCCCUUGAAACUGGAUCGCUAGAAUCUUGGAGAGGCGAGAGGAAUUCCGAGUGUAGAGGUGAAAUUCGUAGAUAUUCGGAAGAACACCAGUGGCGAAGGCGACUCGCUGGACAGGUAUUGACGCUGAGGUGCGAAAGCGUGGGGAGCAAACAGG
Molecule: ribosomal RNA, 253 nt
Filed under: uncultured bacterium
Lineage: Bacteria
Description: partial 16S ribosomal RNA
Rfam family: Bacterial small subunit ribosomal RNA
Source: RNAcentral